AUUCAAAUAGUUUACAUAAAACGUUGGCUUGUGGGGCUGGAGAAAUAAAUAAUUUUAUUUUGAAUA
Molecule: transfer RNA, 66 nt
Filed under: Utra nitida
Lineage: Eukaryota; Metazoa; Arthropoda; Insecta; Coleoptera; Cerambycidae
Description: tRNA-His
Source: RNAcentral